This 447-nucleotide ribosomal RNA is filed under the name uncultured Treponema sp. RNAcentral's name for it is "bacterial SSU rRNA". It matches the Rfam family "Bacterial small subunit ribosomal RNA", at positions 355 to 794 of the family's 1533-position model. Lineage: Bacteria; Pseudomonadati; Spirochaetota; Spirochaetia; Treponematales; Treponemataceae. The record is from RNAcentral.
CUAAGAAUAUUCCGCAAUGGAGGAAACUCUGACGGAGCGACGCCGCGUGGAUGAUGAAGGUCGGAAGAUUGUAAAAUCCUUUUAAGUAUGAUGAAUAACCUGAUCAGGAAAUGGAACAGGGAUGACCGUAAUACUUGAAUAAGCAACGGCUAAUUACGUGCCAGCAGCCGCGGUAACACGUAAGUUGCGAGCGUUGUUCGGAAUUAUUGGGCGUAAAGGGCAUGUAGGCGGUUUUGCAAGCUUGAUGUGAAAUGCCGGGGCUUAACUCCGGCACUGCGUUGAGAACUGCAUGACUAGAGUAACUGAGGGGCAGCCGGAAUUCCAGGUGUAGGGGUGAAAUCUGUAGAUAUCUGGAAGAACACCAAUGGCGAAGGCAGGCUACCAGCAGAUUACUGACGCUGAGGUGCGAAGGUGCGGGGAGCAAACAGGAUUAGAUACCCUGGUAGU